CGAUGGGACACACGGGGCAUAUUCUGGAGCAGCCAAGUCCAUCCCGAGAGAGAAUGCGGGUGUCUGUGUGUGUGAUGUGUGUGAGACUGUGUGUGUGUGUGCAUGUGCAUACAUGUGUAAAGUGUACAGUUGGCCCUUGGUGUGUGUGUGAUUGUGCAUAUGUGUGUAAAGUGUACAGUUGGCCCUGUGUGUGAUUGUGUGUGCAUAUGUGUGUAAAGUACAGUUGGCCCUUUGUGUGUGUGAGAUUGUGUGUGCAUACGUGUGUAAAGUGUACAGUUGGCCCUUGGUAUCUGCAGGUUCCAUAUCCAUCAUUUCAACCAAUCUCGAGUUGAAAAUAAUUGGGGAAGAAAAGGAUGGCUGCGUCUGUACACUGUAUAACAACUAUUUACAUAGCAUUUACAUCGUAUUAGGUACUGCAAGUAAUCUAGGGAUGAUUUAAAGUACGUG
Molecule: long non-coding RNA, 447 nt
Filed under: Homo sapiens (human)
Lineage: Eukaryota; Metazoa; Chordata; Mammalia; Primates; Hominidae
Description: non-protein coding lnc-LIME1-2:1
Source: RNAcentral